GAGUUUGAUCGUGGCUCAGAACGAACGCUGGCGGCAGGCCUAACACAUGCAAGUCGAGCGCCCCGCAAGGGGAGCGGCGCACGGGUGAGCAACGCGUGGGAAUAUGCCCUGGGGCUGGGGAUAACGGCGGGAAACUGCCGCUAAUACCCGGUACGCCUUGAGAGGGAAAGGAGCAAUCCGCCCUGGGAGUAGCCCGCGUUGGAUUAGCUAGUUGGUGUGGUAAGAGCGCACCAAGGCGACGAUCCAUAGCUGGUCUGAGAGGAUGAUCAGCCACACUGGGACUGAGACACGGCCCAGACUCCUACGGGAGGCAGCAGUGGGGAAUAUUGGACAAUGGGGGCAACCCUGAUCCAGCCAUGCCGCGUGAGUGAAGAAGGCCUUAGGGUUGUAAAGCUCUUUCGACGGGGACGAUGAUGACGGUACCCGUAGAAGAAGCCCCGGCUAACUUCGUGCCAGCAGCCGCA
RNAcentral lists this ribosomal RNA (464 nucleotides) under uncultured Alphaproteobacteria bacterium. RNAcentral describes it as "bacterial SSU rRNA". It matches the Rfam family "Bacterial small subunit ribosomal RNA", at positions 9 to 519 of the family's 1533-position model. The record is from RNAcentral. Lineage: Bacteria; Pseudomonadati; Pseudomonadota; Alphaproteobacteria.